UACGGAGGGUGCGAGCGUUGUCCGGAUUCAUUGGGUUUAAAGGGUGCGUAGGCGGGGGAUUAAGUCCGGGGUGAAAGACGGUUGCUCAACAAUCGCAGUGCCUUGGAUACUGGUCCUCUUGGGUAGAGUCGAGGCGGGCGGAAUGGCCGGUGUAGCGGUGAAAUGCAUAGAUACCGGCCAGAACCCCGAUUGCGAAGGCAGCCCGCUGGGCUCCAACCGACGCUGAGGCACGAAAGCGUGGGGAUCAAACAGG
This 253-nucleotide ribosomal RNA is filed under the name uncultured bacterium. Its description in RNAcentral is "partial 16S ribosomal RNA". It matches the Rfam family "Bacterial small subunit ribosomal RNA", at positions 524 to 776 of the family's 1533-position model. The record is from RNAcentral.